This 7189-nucleotide long non-coding RNA is filed under the name Homo sapiens (human). RNAcentral's name for it is "non-protein coding XIST:62". The stretch from base 565 to 690 matches the Rfam family "X-chromosome inactivation gene exon 4". The record is from RNAcentral. Lineage: Eukaryota; Metazoa; Chordata; Mammalia; Primates; Hominidae.
AAGUACCACACUGAGGUGAGGACUUAAAAAUGAUAAGACGAGUUCCCUAUUUUAUAAGAAAAAUAAGCCAAAAUUAAAUAUUCUUUUGGAUAUAAAUUUCAACAGUGAGAUAGCUGCCUAGUGGAAAUGAAUAAUAUCCCAGCCACUAGUGUACAGGGUGUUUUGUGGCACAGGAUUAUGUAAUAUGGAACUGCUCAAGCAAAUAACUAGUCAUCACAACAGCAGUUCUUUGUAAUAACUGAAAAAGAAUAUUGUUUCUCGGAGAAGGAUGUCAAAAGAUCGGCCCAGCUCAGGGAGCAGUUUGCCCUACUAGCUCCUCGGACAGCUGUAAAGAAGAGUCUCUGGCUCUUUAGAAUACUGAUCCCAUUGAAGAUACCACGCUGCAUGUGUCCUUAGUAGUCAUGUCUCCUUAGGCUCCUCUUGGACAUUCUGAGCAUGUGAGACCUGAGGACUGCAAACAGCUAUAAGAGGCUCCAAAUUAAUCAUAUCUUUCCCUUUGAGAAUCUGGCCAAGCUCCAGCUAAUCUACUUGGAUGGGUUGCCAGCUAUCUGGAGAAAAAGAUCUUCCUCAGAAGAAUAGGCUUGUUGUUUUACAGUGUUAGUGAUCCAUUCCCUUUGACGAUCCCUAGGUGGAGAUGGGGCAUGAGGAUCCUCCAGGGGAAAAGCUCACUACCACUGGGCAACAACCCUAGGUCAGGAGGUUCUGUCAAGAUACUUUCCUGGUCCCAGAUAGGAAGAUAAAGUCUCAAAAACAACCACCACACGUCAAGCUCUUCAUUGUUCCUAUCUGCCAAAUCAUUAUACUUCCUACAAGCAGUGCAGAGAGCUGAGUCUUCAGCAGGUCCAAGAAAUUUGAACACACUGAAGGAAGUCAGCCUUCCCACCUGAAGAUCAACAUGCCUGGCACUCUAGCACUUGAGGAUAGCUGAAUGAAUGUGUCUUACCCAUUUCCAUGUUUCUCUUGCUAAUUUCUUUCGUGUGUGCCUUUGCCUCAUUUUCUCUUUUUGUUCACAAGAGUGGUCUGUGUCUUGUCUUAGACAUAUCUCUCAUUUUUCAUUUUGUUGCUAUUUCUCUUUGCUCUCCUAGAUGUGGCUCUUCUUUCACGCUUUAUUUCAUGUCUCCUUUUUGGGUCACAUGCUGUGUGCUUUUUGUCCUUUUCUUGUUCUGUCUACCUCUCCUUUCUCUGCCUACCUCUCUUUUCUCUUUGUGAACUGUGAUUAUUUGUUACCCCUUCCCCUUCUCGUUCGUUUUAAAUUUCACCUUUUUUCUGAGUCUGGCCUCCUUUCUGCUGUUUCUACUUUUUAUCUCACAUUUCUCAUUUCUGCAUUUCCUUUCUGCCUCUCUUGGGCUAUUCUCUCUCUCCUCCCCUGCGUGCCUCAGCAUCUCUUGCUGUUUGUGAUUUUCUAUUUCAGUAUUAAUCUCUGUUGGCUUGUAUUUGUUCUCUGCUUCUUCCCUUUCUACUCACCUUUGAGUAUUUCAGCCUCUUCAUGAAUCUAUCUCCCUCUCUUUGAUUUCAUGUAAUCUCUCCUUAAAUAUUUCUUUGCAUAUGUGGGCAAGUGUACGUGUGUGUGUGUCAUGUGUGGCAGAGGGGCUUCCUAACCCCUGCCUGAUAGGUGCAGAACGUCGGCUAUCAGAGCAAGCAUUGUGGAGCGGUUCCUUAUGCCAGGCUGCCAUGUGAGAUGAUCCAAGACCAAAACAAGGCCCUAGACUGCAGUAAAACCCAGAACUCAAGUAGGGCAGAAGGUGGAAGGCUCAUAUGGAUAGAAGGCCCAAAGUAUAAGACAGAUGGUUUGAGACUUGAGACCCGAGGACUAAGAUGGAAAGCCCAUGUUCCAAGAUAGAUAGAAGCCUCAGGCCUGAAACCAACAAAAGCCUCAAGAGCCAAGAAAACAGAGGGUGGCCUGAAUUGGACCGAAGGCCUGAGUUGGAUGGAAGUCUCAAGGCUUGAGUUAGAAGUCUUAAGACCUGGGACAGGACACAUGGAAGGCCUAAGAACUGAGACUUGUGACACAAGGCCAACGACCUAAGAUUAGCCCAGGGUUGUAGCUGGAAGACCUACAACCCAAGGAUGGAAGGCCCCUGUCACAAAGCCUACCUAGAUGGAUAGAGGACCCAAGCGAAAAAGGUAUCUCAAGACUAACGGCCGGAAUCUGGAGGCCCAUGACCCAGAACCCAGGAAGGAUAGAAGCUUGAAGACCUGGGGAAAUCCCAAGAUGAGAACCCUAAACCCUACCUCUUUUCUAUUGUUUACACUUCUUACUCUUAGAUAUUUCCAGUUCUCCUGUUUAUCUUUAAGCCUGAUUCUUUUGAGAUGUACUUUUUGAUGUUGCCGGUUACCUUUAGAUUGACAGUAUUAUGCCUGGGCCAGUCUUGAGCCAGCUUUAAAUCACAGCUUUUACCUAUUUGUUAGGCUAUAGUGUUUUGUAAACUUCUGUUUCUAUUCACAUCUUCUCCACUUGAGAGAGACACCAAAAUCCAGUCAGUAUCUAAUCUGGCUUUUGUUAACUUCCCUCAGGAGCAGACAUUCAUAUAGGUGAUACUGUAUUUCAGUCCUUUCUUUUGACCCCAGAAGCCCUAGACUGAGAAGAUAAAAUGGUCAGGUUGUUGGGGAAAAAAAAGUGCCAGGCUCUCUAGAGAAAAAUGUGAAGAGAUGCUCCAGGCCAAUGAGAAGAAUUAGACAAGAAAUACACAGAUGUGCCAGACUUCUGAGAAGCACCUGCCAGCAACAGCUUCCUUCUUUGAGCUUAGUCCAUCCCUCAUGAAAAAUGACUGACCACUGCUGGGCAGCAGGAGGGAUGAUGACCAACUAAUUCCCAAACCCCAGUCUCAUUGGUACCAGCCUUGGGGAACCACCUACACUUGAGCCACAAUUGGUUUUGAAGUGCAUUUACAAGGUUUGUCUAUUUUCAGUUCUUUACUUUUUACAUGCUGACACAUACAUACACUGCCUAAAUAGAUCUCUUUCAGAAACAAUCCUCAGAUAACGCAUAGCAAAAUGGAGAUGGAGACAUGAUUUCUCAUGCAACAGCUUCUCUAAUUAUACCUUAGAAAUGUUCUCCUUUUUAUCAUCAAAUCUGCUCAAGAAGGGCUUUUUAUAGUAGAAUAAUAUCAGUGGAUGAAAACAGCUUAACAUUUUACCAUGCUUAAGUUUUAAGAAUAAAAUAAAAAUUGGAAAUAAUUGGCCAAAAUUGAAAGGAAAAAUUUUUUUAAAAUUUCUCUAAAUGUAGGCCUGGCUGGGCUUUGACCUUUUCCGUUUUUAAAUCACUCACAGAGGGUGGGACAGGAGGAAGAGUGAAGGAAAAGGUCAAACCUGUUUUAAGGGCAACCUGCCUUUGUUCUGAAUUGGUCUUAAGAACAUUACCAGCUCCAGGUUUAAAUUGUUCAGUUUCAUGCAGUUCCAAUAGCUGAUCAUUGUUGAGAUGAGGACAAAAUCCUUUGUCCUCACUAGUUUGCUUUACAUUUUUGAAAAGUAUUAUUUUUGUCCAAGUGCUUAUCAACUAAACCUUGUGUUAGGUAAGAAUGGAAUUUAUUAAGUGAAUCAGUGUGACCCUUCUUGUCAUAAGAUUAUCUUAAAGCUGAAGCCAAAAUAUGCUUCAAAAGAAGAGGACUUUAUUGUUCAUUGUAGUUCAUACAUUCAAAGCAUCUGAACUGUAGUUUCUAUAGCAAGCCAAUUACAUCCAUAAGUGGAGAAGGAAAUAGAUAAAUGUCAAAGUAUGAUUGGUGGAGGGAGCAAGGUUGAAGAUAAUCUGGGGUUGAAAUUUUCUAGUUUUCAUUCUGUACAUUUUUAGUUAGACAUCAGAUUUGAAAUAUUAAUGUUUACCUUUCAAUGUGUGGUAUCAGCUGGACUCAGUAACACCCCUUUCUUCAGCUGGGGAUGGGGAAUGGAUUAUUGGAAAAUGGAAAGAAGAAAGUAACUAAAAGCCUUCCUUUCACAGUUUCUGGCAUCACUACCACUACUGAUUAAACAAGAAUAAGAGAACAUUUUAUCAUCAUCUGCUUUAUUCACAUAAAUGAAGUUGUGAUGAAUAAAUCUGCUUUUAUGCAGACACAAGGAAUUAAGUGGCUUCGUCAUUGUCCUUCUACCUCAAAGAUAAUUUAUUCCAAAAGCUAAGAUAAAUGGAAGACUCUUGAACUUGUGAACUGAUGUGAAAUGCAGAAUCUCUUUUGAGUCUUUGCUGUUUGGAAGAUUGAAAAAUAUUGUUCAGCAUGGGUGACCACCAGAAAGUAAUCUUAAGCCAUCUAGAUGUCACAAUUGAAACAAACUGGGGAGUUGGUUGCUAUUGUAAAAUAAAAUAUACUGUUUUGAAAACUUUGUAUUUUGAUGUGACAAUUUCUAACUCACUGUCCCUAACCACACUAAUUACCGUAAGUUCUUCAUUUCUUUUUUCUUUUUCUUUUUAAAUUAAUAAAUUAAUUUAUUUUUUGGAGAUGGAGUCUCGCUUUGUUGCCCAGGCUGGAGUGCAGUGGUGCCAUCUUGGCUCACUGUAACCUCUGCCUCCUGGGUUCAAGCGAUUCUCCUGCCUCAGCCUCACCAGUAGCUGGGAUUACAGUCAUGAGCCACCAUGCCUGGCUAAUGGUUGUAUUUUUAGUAGAGACGGGGUUUUGCCAUGUUGGCCAGGCUGGUCACGAACUCCUGACUUAAAGUGAAACACCUGCCUCGGCCUCCCAAAGUUCUGGGAUUACAGGCGGGAGCCACCGUGCCUGGCCUCAUUUCUUUUUUUAAACUACCUUAAUCACCCAGUGUGGGUAAAUGGUUUGAAGUCUCAUUUCUUACAGCAUCAGUUGCUUUGGUCAAGGAUACUGAGAAGCACAAACCCAGUAAAAAAUGUGAGAAGCAAAAAACUUGAGGAUCAAAAGUGGGAGAGGAGAAGGGUAUAAACUGUAAGGCUGUGGGAAUUAAGCAUUCAUGAAAGAGGCCCAGACCCUGAGUAGGUGAAGGGAUCUUCAGUGUUUCUAGAAUUCUGAAUGAUCAAAUACCCAAACAUUAGAUUGGUGACUUUAUAGGCAAAUGAACCAGCACAGUAUUUUUUUUUUUUUUGAGACAGAGUCUCGCUCUGUCUCCAGGCUGGAGUGCGGUGGUGUGAUCGGCUCACUGCAACCUCUGCCACCCAGGUUCAAGCAAUUGUGCCUCAGCCUCCCGAAUAGCUGGGAUUAAAGGCGUGUAGUACGACAGCAGGCUAAUUUUUGUAUUUAAUUUAGUAGAGAGAGGGUUUCACCAUUUUGGCCAGGCUAGUCUCUUAACUCCUGACCUCAAAUGAUCCACCCGCCUCGGCCUCCCAAAGUGCUGGGAUUACGGGCAUAAGUCGCCGUGCCCAGCCCCCAGCACAGUAUUCUAUAGGCAAGAGUUCCUACUGCUUUGUUGGAAAUUAAACUGGAAACUGGUUUUUUUUUUUUUCUCCAGAAAGUCUUAAGCUGUUAUGGGCCCAGAUGGUUAUUCAGUAUAUGAACUUUUUUUUUUUUUUUUUUAGACAGUGUCUUGCUCAGCCACCCAGGCUGGAGUGCAGUGGUGUGAUCUCGGCUCACUGCAGCCACUGUCUCCCAGGUUCAAGUGAUUCUCCCGUCCCAGCCUCCAGAACAGCUGGCAUUACAGGCACCCGCCAUCAUGCCCGGCUAACUUUUGUAUUUUAGUAGAGACUGGGUUUCACCAUGUUGGCCAGGCUAGUCUUGAACUCCUGACCUCAGGUGAUCCACCAGCCUUGGCCUCCCAAGGUGCUAGGAUUACAGGUGUGAGCCGCCGCACCCGUCCCAGUACAUGGACCUUUAAAACCGAUGCCUGAAGAACUCUUACCUAUGUGUUAACAGUUGAAUUUUGUCAUUAUAAAUGAGUAGAGUUUGAGGUGAUAAAGUUGACCCAUAUCUUGGGGGUUGCUUCUGAACUGGGAUGGUGCUACAUGGACUUUUCUCUUUACUCUUAUUUCUUUGCAAGGCUGGAUGUGUAGGACAGAGGGAAAGCAGGUGAGGCGGUAAGGAGACUUCCUGAAGUUAUUCUUGAGUGUCUUCUGUUCCUUUGUCCAUCCCUCUUGAUUCCUUCAGCAGAUCCUAUUCCCAUAGGGGCUUACUUCAGUCCCCUUGUCAUAUUUGCUGUGCUUACUCUUGUGUUUGUGGUGCUUUGGUCCUCAAAUUCCUUGAUUCUCUUGUAAAAUUUGAAGGGAGAGGAAAUGAAAAACACCGUAUCUCCUGGUUAGUGAGGAAAGGUCAGACAAGGCAAUUUUAUAGGGGCAGCAGAAAUAUUUAGAAAAUGUCAAAGCAUUUGAUAGUAUUUUUCAGUUUUUGUAUUUUUUAUGUGGUGUGUAUGAAGUGGUCACUGUAUGCUUGUAGUUGGAUUUGGUGCCAGCCCAACCCACAUCCACAAAAACUUGUGCCUCCUAUCAAUUUACUCUUUUACCCUUGGUCAUGAGAAAAGGUAAUGUUACUGAGGCCAGUAGACUUAGGCAAGCAUCUAUCAUUCAAAUUUCGAAGUGGAAUAAUUUAAAUGGGGUUUAAAAUUUAGCCAGCCAUUCUAUUCACUGUGAAUGGAUAGGCAGGAAGUGUGCUAAUCAUAGGUCCAACUUCUGAAAAAGGUGGAGGUAGCAAGGAAAACCAGUUGAAGGACCUUAGUACCUUUCCCAUGAAUUAUAGCAAAUGGAGCACCAAGGCAAUUACAUGGUAGCUGAGGAGUCAUUAGUUCUCAAAAUUCAAACCCCACUCAGCUAUAUUGUUUCCAUUGGCUUGGUAAAGGUGAACUUUUGAGGGGUUCUUAUUGUUAGUAUUUCCUGGGUUUGCCACAGUCUUGCUCCCAGUACCAGCAUUCUCAGUGACGAGCUUCCUUUUACCCACUCCAGUUUCUCUUCUCUGUGUACUCUGGAUCAAAAUAGUAACUCCUUUCUAGAGUGCUAGAACAAAAGCUGGCAUCACUUGAGGGCCUAAGGAGAGGAGAGCAAAGGGAGAGCAGAAUGCAAAGUAGAGUGGGAAAGAAAGUUGGAUUCGAGCAGCCUUGCAGGUAGCUAACUACUUAGGCAGAACCUGUCACUUUAUGGGAACUCCGUGGUAAGGAAAAAAAUUCAUAAGCAGACUUUGCAGGCAGGAUUUCAAAAAAUCUUAGGAAUUCUGACUCACAUUAAAUAGAAGAAGAAUGUCAAAGGUUGAGUGGCUUGUGAGGGAUGAGCUUUGAGUGGACCCUACUUUAUAAUAUUCCGUGAAGAAAUGAUUAG